This 489-nucleotide ribosomal RNA is filed under the name uncultured bacterium. RNAcentral's name for it is "partial 16S ribosomal RNA". It matches the Rfam family "Bacterial small subunit ribosomal RNA", at positions 29 to 507 of the family's 1533-position model. The record is from RNAcentral.
AUGAACGCUAGCUACAGGCUUAACACAUGCAAGUCGAGGGGCAGCAUGGUCUUAGCUUGCUAAGGCCGAUGGCGACCGGCGCACGGGUGAGUAACACGUAUCCAACCUGCCGUCUACUCUUGGACAGCCUUCUGAAAGGAAGAUUAAUACAAGAUGGCAUCAUGAGUCCGCAUGUUCACAUGAUUAAAGGUAUUCCGGUAGACGAUGGGGAUGCGUUCCAUUAGAUAGUAGGCGGGGUAACGGCCCACCUAGUCUUCGAUGGAUAGGGGUUCUGAGAGGAAGGUCCCCCACAUUGGAACUGAGACACGGUCCAAACUCCUACGGGAGGCAGCAGUGAGGAAGAGUGGUCAAUGGGCGCAGGCCUGAACCAGCCAAGUAGCGUGAAGGAUGACUGCCCUAUGGGUUGUAAACUUCUUUUAUAAAGGAAUAAAGUCGGGUAUGUAUACCCGUUUGCAUGUACUUUAUGAAUAAGGAUCGGCUAACUCCGUG